This 479-nucleotide ribosomal RNA is filed under the name uncultured bacterium. RNAcentral describes it as "partial 16S ribosomal RNA". It matches the Rfam family "Bacterial small subunit ribosomal RNA", at positions 28 to 507 of the family's 1533-position model. The record is from RNAcentral.
GAUGAACGCUAGCGGGAGGCCUAACACAUGCAAGCCGAGCGGUAGAGUUUCUUCGGAAACUUGAGAGCGGCGCACGGGUGCGUAACACGUGUGCAACCUACCUUUAUCUGGGGGAUAGCCUUUCGAAAGGAAGAUUAAUACCCCAUAAUAUAAUGAUUGGCAUCAAUUAUUAUUGAAAACUCCGGUGGAUAGAGAUGGGCACGCGCAAGAUUAGGUAGUUGGUGAGGUAACGGCUCACCAAGUCAAUGAUCUUUAGGGGUCCUGAGAGGGAGAUCCCCCACACUGGUACUGAGACACGGACCAGACUCCUACGGGAGGCAGCAGUGAGGAAUAUUGGACAAUGGGUGAGAGCCUGAUCCAGCCAUCCCGCGUGAAGGAUGACGGUCCUAUGGAUUGUAAACUUCUUUUGUACAGGGAUAAACCUACCCUCGUGAGGGUAGCUGAAGGUACUGUACGAAUAAGCACCGGCUAACUCCGUG